UUAAAAGAAAAGCUUGUUUGGCCCAACCAUGGUGAGGUGUUGGGGGUGAAUUGGUAAACAGAAGGUGGUAAAGCCCAAAUGAUACUAAGAAAACUUUAAAAAAAACUUCGGGCUGGACUGGGUCAGUGGACCUGGAUCCAAACUCAAAAUGAAUUGAACCGGGUUCAAUAACCCUAGCCCCCUUUCUCUCUUCAAUUGAUUCUGUCCUCUCACGAAGAAAAGAAAACACGCUCAGAAAACUCCUUCUCUCUCGCGAUUUCUUCCCUCAACUCUCGAUUCUACUCGGUCUACUCACGGUUUCUCAGUUAAUGAACAACAAAACAACAACAAGUUGAAAGUCUCACCUCUCUCUCGCUCGAUUUCCUCUGUUUUUUUUUUUUUAAUUCAUGUUUAACACAAACAAACGAAUAACAACAAUAAUCCUCAAGGUCAACGAAAAUUAAGGCAACGACAACAUGAUGAAUAUACAAUUUCGUAAGAAAAAUCACAUAGUAAGCAACAAUUCUGAAUCGCAGAGAUAAAAUAAGGACAUAGAGUUCGAGGAUACCGUCAAGAGUUUAUGGAGUUCUGAACGGUGGUAUCGUGAUGCGUCUGGUGAAGUGAUAGUGACGUUGAAUCUGCGGAAGAUAUUGAUGAUAAUGAAAGGGACGGUUUGUUAUGGCUAGAUGAGUGAAAGAGGGUAAGUCGAAGGGAUUCACAGGAUUGUUGCUGAGAGUUUGUGUCUAUUUCUAUGCAGCUUUUAGAGAUUUAGAGGCUCAGUUAUUUGAGGUUGAUAAAUGUUUUUCGUGUGUUAUUCGAAGGAGAUUCGGUGAUUGUUUGAGUGAUGAUUUGGUGAGUGUUUUUGCACAAUUUUGAGGUGAGUUUAUGAGAGGAUGGAGAGCUCUGUUAGCAGGGGUUGAGCUAAGCAUUUGGCGGAGUUCUUCUAGGUUUUUUUUGUUCGUGUCUCCCCCCUUCUUUGCUGCUGUGAGAGUCUUGAUUUAUAGCUGGAUGAAAAGGAUUUUGGGGGGAAAACUUAUUGAAUUUUGAACUGUUUUGGUAUACUGCUGUGUGCCUUUUUGAUGCAGUUUUUUGUGUGAGCUAUUUUAGUGACAAUCUUGGACAGAUUAGAGCAGUUGAUAACAGAGCAAGAGCUAUUCUUUUUUUGUUUUUUUUUUUUUUUUGCAAGUUACAGAAGAUGAUGGUGAUGGAAGCUAGGCCUUGUGAAGAAACAUUUUUUUGUCUUUUCUCUGUAAUUUCUAAAAUUUGAAGAAUCCUAUGCAUGAGGAUUCUUAAUGCAUUGUCAAUACUAAUUGUAAAAAAACUGAACUAAUUAGUAAAAUAUAUUCUAUUCA
Long non-coding RNA from Vicia villosa (hairy vetch), 1331 nucleotides. RefSeq lists it as uncharacterized. The transcript has 2 exons. NCBI's taxonomy places the organism in Eukaryota, Viridiplantae, Streptophyta, Magnoliopsida, Fabales, Fabaceae. The record is from RefSeq and is a predicted model, not a curated record.